UACGGGGGGGGCAAGCGUUGUUCGGAAUUACUGGGCGUAAAGGGCUCGUAGGCGGCCAACUAAGUCAGACGUGAAAUCCCCAGGCUCAACCUGGGAACUGCGUCUGAGACUGGAUGGCUUGAAUCCGGGAGAGGGAUGCAGAAUUCCAGGUGUAGCGGUGAAAUGCGUAGAUAUCUGGAGGAAUACCGGUGGCGAAGGCGGCAUCCUGGACCGGCAUUGACGCUGAGGAGCGAAAGCCAGGGGAGCAAACGGG
RNAcentral lists this ribosomal RNA (253 nucleotides) under uncultured bacterium. RNAcentral's name for it is "partial 16S ribosomal RNA". It matches the Rfam family "Bacterial small subunit ribosomal RNA", at positions 524 to 776 of the family's 1533-position model. The record is from RNAcentral.